Molecule: long non-coding RNA, 214 nt
Filed under: Dromaius novaehollandiae (emu)
Lineage: Eukaryota; Metazoa; Chordata; Aves; Casuariiformes; Dromaiidae
Description: lncRNA (ENSDNVG00000008514.1)
Source: RNAcentral
AGGAUGCUUUAUUCAGAGCUCAAGCACAACAACACUGUGGUACGCUGUAUCUAUCUGCAGGUAACUCCUUCCAUCAGAGGCUUGUAUAAUCUUCACCUCUGAGGACCAUAGGCUGCGUGUACAUGUGGAAGAAGAGCAGAAAUUGGGCCCCGCUCAUAAGAUGUUCUUCACCAUGACAAGUCCUGCUGAACACUGUAAUCCUUGUCCUUACCAA